This is a non-coding RNA of Linepithema humile (Argentine ant), 235 nucleotides long. The record is from RefSeq and is a predicted model, not a curated record. NCBI's taxonomy places the organism in Eukaryota, Metazoa, Arthropoda, Insecta, Hymenoptera, Formicidae.
AAUUAUCAAUUUAUUUGUGUGGAUGAAAAUGGAUAUUUAUGUCCACAACUUGAAGAUGGAACCAUUAUAUAUCCUGAGCCAGUAUCAUCUUUUACUGCAGCUGUAUGCGAAGACAUUGAGGAGCUUUUGAUAUCAAGUGUAAAAAAAAGAAGAGAAUUAUGGGAUCACACAUUGCCAAUUACAAAAAGAUCUCGAGAUGUCAUUGCAACGCACUGGCAAGAAAUCUCAAAAGAAU